This 82-nucleotide transfer RNA is filed under the name Dallia pectoralis (Alaska blackfish). Its description in RNAcentral is "tRNA-Leu". It matches the Rfam family "tRNA". Rfam says of the family: Transfer RNA (tRNA) molecules are approximately 80 nucleotides in length. Their secondary structure includes four short double-helical elements and three loops (D, anti-codon, and T loops). Lineage: Eukaryota; Metazoa; Chordata; Actinopteri; Esociformes; Umbridae. The record is from RNAcentral.
GUCGGGAUGGUCGAGCGGUCUAAGGCUCUGCGUUCAGGUCGCAGUCUCCCUGGAGGCAUUGGUUCCAAUCCCACUUCUGACA